GACGAACGCUGGCGGCGUGCUUAACACAUGCAAGUCGAACGGAAAGGCCCUGCUUUUGUGGGGUGCUCGAGUGGCGAACGGGUGAGUAACACGUGAGUAACCUGCCCUUGACUUUGGGAUAACUUCAGGAAACUGGGGCUAAUACCGGAUAGGAGCUCCUGCUGCAUGGUGGGGGUUGGAAAGUUUCGGCGGUUGGGGAUGGACUCGCGGGUUAUCAGCUUGUUGGUGGGGUAGUGGCUUACCAAGGCUUUGACGGGUAGCCGGCCUGAGAGGGUGACCGGCCACAUGGGGACUGAGAGACGGCCCAGACGCCAACGGGAGGCAGCAGUGGGGAAUAUUGCACAAUGGGCGGAAGCCGGAUGCAGCAACGCCGCGGGCGGGAUGACGGCCUGCGGGUUGUAAACCGCUUUCGCCUGUGACGAAGCGUGAGUGACGGUAAUGGGUAAAGAAGCACCGGCUAACUACGUG
RNAcentral lists this ribosomal RNA (468 nucleotides) under uncultured bacterium. RNAcentral describes it as "partial 16S ribosomal RNA". It matches the Rfam family "Bacterial small subunit ribosomal RNA", at positions 28 to 507 of the family's 1533-position model. The record is from RNAcentral.